CCAUUUUUGAAAACCAAUACGAUAAUUCAUGUACGUGUUGGAGAGUGGAGUUGUAGCAGUUGUAGUAGCCAUUGGCGAGCAACAAGAGAAGUGAUAACGCCAGCGAAACCUAGGUGACAGGUCAAUUGGGAUAUGUCUUCUAAUAGUGUGAAGGAAAGUGCAUCAGUUGCUGAACGGAAGCAUGACUUUGGAAAUUCAUAUGACCUAGAGAGCUCCAGUGACAAGUAUGAUGAAGACAUUAAUCCAACUAGGGCAGAUAAAGUGCGACAUUCUUACUGUCAGAUAGGGCAUCCAAGUGGAACUGGAAUGGGAAAAUUGUAUAAUGUAAAAUACUUCAUCAUUAAGAGUUUGAACCAUCAAAAUAUUCGUUUGUCAAUUGAGAAGGGAAUUUGGGCUACUCAAACCAUGAAUGAACCCAUUCUGGAAGAAGCUUUUCAUAAUUCAGGUAGUGUAAUCCUUAUAUUUAGUGUCAACAUGAGUGGCUGCUUCCAAGGGUACGCACAAAUGCUGUCCUCUAUUGGGUGGAGGAGAGACAAUGUUUGGAGUGAUGGAAGUGGUAAAAGUAAACCUUGGGGUCGCACUUUUAAGGUCAAAUGGCUGUGCUUGAAUGACUUGCCUUUCCAUAAGACUCUUCAUCUCAAGAAUCCACUGAAUGAAUAUAAACCUGUCAAAAUUAGCAGAGAUUGCCAGGAGUUAUCUCCAGAUAUUGGUCUAGCUCUUUGUGAACUCCUUGAUUGUAACAAUGAUGUGGAUGGACUUGCAAGUUCAUCAAGGAACAAUUUUUCUUCGGAGGGUCAUUCUGCUAAUACUCCAAGUGCAAUGGGAGAUCAAGACUGUAACUUUCCUUCGCCGCAGUUGUCAUGGUCAAUGCCUAUGGCUUAUUCUUCCAUAUUUUCCCAAAAUCAAGCUGAAGGUAAUAAAUUUCAUUCAACCAACCAGAAAUUCAGUGGAAGAAUGUUCACUGAAAUACCGCCCAUCACUUUUAAGUCAUCAAAAGUGGCAGGUAUUAAACGUUCUCAUUUUAGUGGGCGUACUCCGACGAUACUAAUGGAGAAGGAUGUGGCUUCACAAUUUGAUGAAUGGGGUCUGUUUUCAGAAUGCCCUUUAGCUAGUUCCCUAACUGAUGAUGAUUUUCUUGACAUGUCCUAUGAAGAAUACCUGGAGAUCCAUAGCAGAUGCAGGAAACAGUUACGUAGCAGUAGCAGUGUCAGCAACUAAACGAUAUCAGAAACAGCUAGAAUCGUUGGGAAGUAACACACACGAUGAUGAUAGGUGAAGACCUUUCCUGUUGCCAAACUCCAAAUUAUAAGUUGUCAAUUCUGUGAUUCUACAGCCAGGAAGCAUUUUGCAGGAAUUUAGGUGAGACUACUAGAGACUGGAACAACUCUCAUAAGAGGAUGCAUCAGUCCUAUUUGCCUUGAAUUAACUUCUCCUUCAACAAGGUAUGUGCUCUGUAGUUGAUCAGAAGAAGAUUACUGGAUUGGUUGAGGUCUGCAGGCCAAAAAGGGAUACACUAACAAUGUUGCUAGUUGUAGAAAUUGAUAGAUGGAACGUAAGAUUUACAUUUCAUAAUUUUUGAUUUGUUGUUAAGAAUACAAAGAUCUUGAAUAUUUUGUAAAUAUUGUGAGAAGCAAAAUUUGUAUAUUUUUGCUGUUCGUGUUA
Molecule: RNA transcript, 1662 nt
Organism: Cicer arietinum (chickpea)
Lineage: Eukaryota; Viridiplantae; Streptophyta; Magnoliopsida; Fabales; Fabaceae
Source: RefSeq, a predicted model, not a curated record